Tachyglossus aculeatus (Australian echidna) is the source of this 138-nucleotide small nucleolar RNA. Lineage: Eukaryota; Metazoa; Chordata; Mammalia; Monotremata; Tachyglossidae. The record is from RefSeq and is a predicted model, not a curated record.
CCCCUCUCAGGGUCGCCCCUGGAGGGUUUCUAGUCCUCUUCCAGUCUUGGGUAUGGGAGGGAGAGUCAAGCAGGGGCCUACUCAUUCCAUUCCUAGUUUGGCCAGUGGCUAGUGAGUGGAAGGCAAUCUGCUUCCAGU